RNAcentral lists this ribosomal RNA (455 nucleotides) under uncultured bacterium. RNAcentral describes it as "bacterial SSU rRNA". It matches the Rfam family "Bacterial small subunit ribosomal RNA", at positions 340 to 786 of the family's 1533-position model. The record is from RNAcentral.
UACGGAAGGCAGCAGUGGGGAAUAUUGCACAAUGGGCGCAAGCCUGAUGCAGCCAUGCCGCGUGUAUGAAGAAGGCCUUCGGGUUGUAAAGUACUUUCAGUCGUGAGGAAGGUGUUAAGGUUAAUAACCUUAGCAGUUGACGUUAGCGACAGAAGAAGCACCGGCUAACUCCGUGCCAGCAGCCGCGGUAAUACGGAGGGUGCGAGCGUUAAUCGGAAUUACUGGGCGUAAAGGGCACGCAGGCGGUUAAUUAAGUUGGAUGUGAAAUCCCCGGGCUUAACCUGGGAAUGGCAUUCAAGACUGGUUAGCUAGAGUCUUGUAGAGGGGGUAGAAUUCCGAUGUGUAGCGGUGAAAUGCGUAGAGAUGUGGAGGAAUACCGGUGGCGAAGGCGGCCCCUGGACAAAGACUGACGCUCAUGUGCGAAAGCGUGGGGAGCAAACGAGGGAUUAGAUACC